RNAcentral lists this long non-coding RNA (274 nucleotides) under Lathyrus oleraceus (garden pea). RNAcentral describes it as "Pisum sativum (pea) long non-coding RNA (PSAT_LNC042289)". The record is from RNAcentral. Lineage: Eukaryota; Viridiplantae; Streptophyta; Magnoliopsida; Fabales; Fabaceae.
CAGGAUAUCGCAUCCUGGUCCUACGUAGUCUGUCAGAAACAAACAUCAGAGUCAAUGUAGUUCGGGGAAAAGGGAGACAUGCUCGCUAGGAUAUCGCAUCCUAUGCCUACGUAUCUUCUCUAUCCAGAGAAGAAUCGGAGCACUCGUAGCUCGGCUAACGCACGGCGAAACAAAACACCAAAAAGAGACGCUGAGACGUCAAAGAAACACUCAACAGGAAACAGAAUGCCAAUACAUGGACUUAUAUCUGACUCCUAACAACGACACACAAAAG